RNAcentral lists this ribosomal RNA (271 nucleotides) under uncultured bacterium. Its description in RNAcentral is "partial 16S ribosomal RNA". It matches the Rfam family "Bacterial small subunit ribosomal RNA", at positions 524 to 794 of the family's 1533-position model. The record is from RNAcentral.
UACAGAGGGUGCAAGCGUUAAUCGGAAUUACUGGGCGUAAAGCGCGUGUAGGUGGACAAGCAAGUUGGAUGUAAAAGCCCCGGGCUUAACCUGGGAAAGUCAUUCAAAACUACUUGACUAGAGUAUAGUAGAGGGAAGUGGAAUUUCAGGUGUAGCGGUGAAAUGCGUAGAUAUCUGAAGGAACAUCAGUGGCGAAGGCGGCUUCCUGGACUCAUACUGACACUCAGACGCGAAAGCGUGGGUAGCGAACAGGAUUAGAAACCCGGGUAGU